This 437-nucleotide ribosomal RNA is filed under the name uncultured bacterium. Its description in RNAcentral is "partial 16S ribosomal RNA". It matches the Rfam family "Bacterial small subunit ribosomal RNA", at positions 29 to 507 of the family's 1533-position model. The record is from RNAcentral.
AGCGAACGCUGGCGGCAGGCUUAACACAUGCAAGUCGAGCGGGCAUCCUUGUGGUGUCAGCGGCAGACGGGUGAGUAACGCGUGGGAACGUGCCCUUCGGUUCGGAAUAACUCAGGGAAACUUGAGCUAAUACCGGAUACGUGCGAGAGCAGAAAGGUUUAUCUGCCGAAGGAUCGGCCCGCGUCUGAUUAGCUAGUUGGUGAGGUUAUGGCUCACCAAGGCGACGAUCAGUAGCUGGUCUGAGAGGAUGAUCAGCCACACUGGGACUGAGACACGGCCCAGACUCCUACGGGAGGCAGGAGUGGGGAAUAUUGGACAAUGGGGGCAACCCUGAUCCAGCUAUGCCGCGUGAGUGAUGACGGCCUUAGGGUUGUAAAGCUCUUUUCUUCGGGACGAUAAUGACGGUACCGGAGGAAUAAGCCCCGGCUAACUUCGUG